CAAUUACUUAUUUUUUCAAAAUAGAGAUAGUUCCCUCCCCCCAAGGGAGAAAAUACGGAAUAAUCAAAAACUCGAGCAGUAGGAACUAAAGUAUAAUGCAUAAGCCUGUGACUACAUCAAUGGAAAGCAAACUGACAUGCAACUAACACUUAAAAAAAUUAAUCACAGAUUGCAAUGUUUUUCAGUAUGUGUCCGUCAAUUUCACACAGGUCUUGUCUUGUAUCUCUACACAUAAGUAUACACACUGAAACACAUGCAAAAAAUAAAAAAUAAUAACAAAAAAAAAAGGCAAAAACUAUUUGCAGUAACAGACAAGGUCAACAAGUUGUUAAUGUAAACCAGCACCCAGAGCACAAUCUGCUGCCCCUCUUCCAACUUUCUGAAUGGAAGGGCUACGCAAACCGAUCAGCCCACCAAGCGGAUCGCUUCGGGCUGCGAUCUGCCCGCUUCCACAGAGCCGAGCAGCUCGAGGGUCGCUGGGCAGCCCCCCAUGACCGCACAGCCCCCACGGCCAAGCCCACCGCUGCGGGCCCGCUGCGAGCGUCCAGCCCUGCGCCCCUGCCUCCAGUGAGGCCGCUCGCACCGCUCCCCUUCCCAGCCUUCGCCAAAGCCCUUUGGAGGAGCGAAGAGGCUCGGGCACAUCCACAAAGUCAUCGCAUGAGAGGGAUUAGUCUAUAAACGAAAGUAAUAGCUCGAGCCAGGAAAAGCUCCCCCGCAACGCGUUACUUCGGCGGGGGGACUCCUUGGGUUAGACCGCUGCAGCCAACUCGUGUGCUGCGAGAAACGGCGCUCGUGUUUCGCACCCUUUUUACCUUAACACUGGAUCUGCUGGUCUGGGUCUCUGCCUCCAUGCUCUGGCUGUUCUCCCUCUUGUCUUUCUUAGAGGAAUUAGUCCUCACCUUAUAAGUGGAUGUGUUGGAGGAUUUAAUGAAUAAUCCUGGGACGGGGUUGCCUUGCUGCUGCUGAGACAUGGUUGUGUUGGUCUGGUGAGGGGAAUUGCACUCCUCAGACUCUUUGCUACUGUGAUAGACCACUCUGCUGUCAGAGAUGUGGAUGCUUGGAGCACAGCCCAUGCUUUGUGGCCACCUGGGGAAUACUUCUAAAUUGUAUAUAUAUAUACGUGCAUAUAUAUAUCUCUUUCCUUCCCGUUGGUAUUUCCCCCUGCUUUUUUUUUUUUUUUUUUUUUUUUUUUGUUAACAGGUUGAAUCUUUGUCCUGCGUCUCCGCUACACUCUGAAGCAUUGCCAUCGGUCCCUCGCACACGACAGGCUCGUGUCUGUCCUCCUCGGCCUCCACGAAGCGGGUCCUUUGGUCGCCCCCUCAGCCAGCGGUUAGUGCUGAUUUUCCUAAGCCAUCUGAGAAGCUUGGGAGGGCUUGCUUUCCUUCGGGGGAAGAAGGAGGAAAAAAAAAAAAAGAAAAAUAGCUCCGAAAAGCCGCGAAGCAGCCGCACAGCCCCGGUGCUCAGCGCGGCCGGG
This 1474-nucleotide long non-coding RNA is filed under the name Anas platyrhynchos platyrhynchos (common mallard). RNAcentral describes it as "lncRNA (ENSAPLG00000026343.1)". The record is from RNAcentral. Lineage: Eukaryota; Metazoa; Chordata; Aves; Anseriformes; Anatidae.